UUCUGGCUCAGGAUGAACGCUAGCUACAGGCUAACACAUGCAAGUCGAGGGGCAGCGAGGGGUUAGCUUGCUAAUCCUGUCGGCGACCGGCGCACGGGUGAGUAACGCGUAUCCAACCUGGCCCAUAGUAGGGAAUAGCCCGGCGAAAGUCGGAUUAAUGCCCUAUGUUAUCCGAUGAGGACAUCUGAAUUGGAUUAAAGAUUCAUCGCUAUGGGAUGGGGAUGCGUCUGAUUAGCUUGCCGGCGGGGUAACGGCCCACCGGGGCAACGAUCAGUAGGGGUUCUGAGAGGAAGGUCCCCCACAUUGGAACUGAGACACGGUCCAAACUCCUACGGGAGGCAGCAGUGAGGAAUAUUGGUCAAUGGCCGCAAGGCUGAACCAGCCAAGUAGCCGUGCAGGAUGACGGCCCUAUGGGUUGUAAACUGCUUUUGCGGGGGAAUAAAGUGAGGGACGCGUCCCUUUUUGUAUGUACCCUGAGAAUAAGGACCGGCUAAUUCCGUGCCAGCAGCAGC
RNAcentral lists this ribosomal RNA (512 nucleotides) under uncultured bacterium. Its description in RNAcentral is "bacterial SSU rRNA". It matches the Rfam family "Bacterial small subunit ribosomal RNA", at positions 17 to 518 of the family's 1533-position model. The record is from RNAcentral.